RNAcentral lists this long non-coding RNA (2132 nucleotides) under Mizuhopecten yessoensis (Yesso scallop). RNAcentral describes it as "uncharacterized LOC110461042". Lineage: Eukaryota; Metazoa; Mollusca; Bivalvia; Pectinida; Pectinidae. The record is from RNAcentral.
UUAAAGUGGAUUGAUCCAAAGUUCAAAGUAUAGUAUUUAUAGUGGAUUGAUACCAAGUUCAACCCACAGAGGAUUGUAAAAGUAUAGGAUGUAUAGUGGAUUGAUCCCAAGUUCAAAUAUGGGAUUUAUAGUGGAUUGAUCCCAAGUUCAACCCACAGAAGAUUGUAAAAGUAUAGGAUGUAUAGUGGAUUGAUCCCAAGUUCAAAUAUGGGAUUUAUAGUGGAUUGAUCCCAAGUUCAACCCCCAGAAGAUUGUAAAAGUAUAGAAUUUAUAGUGGAUUGAUCCCAAGUUCAACCCACAGAAGAUUGUAAAAGUAUAGGAUUUAUAGUGGAUUGAUCCCAAGUUCAACCCUCAGAAGAUUGUAAAAGUGUAGGAUUUAAAGUGGAUUGAUCCCAAGUUCAACCCACAGAAGAUUGUAAAAGUUUAGGAUGUAUAGUGGAUUGAUCCCCAGUUCAACCCUCAGAAGAUUGUAAAAGUAUAUGAUUUAAAGUGGAUUGAUCCCAAGUUCAACCCACAGAAGAUUGUAAAAGUUUAGGAUGUAUAGUGGAUUGAUCCCAAGUUCAACCCUCAGAAGAUUGUAAAAGUAUAGGAUUUAAAGUGGAUUGAUCCUAAGUUCAACCCACAGAAGAUUGUAAAAGUAUAGGAUUUAAAGUGGAUUGAUUCCAAGUUCAAAGUUUGGGAUUUAUAGUGGAUUGAUCCCAAGUUCAACCCUCAGAAGAUUGUAAAAGUUUAGGAUGUAUAGUGGAUUGAUCCCAAGUUCAACCCUCAGAAGAUUAUAAAAGUAUAGGAUUUAUAGUGGAUUGAUCCCAAGUUCAACCCUCAGAAGAUUGUAAAACAUUGUCUUUCCUUUAACUCCAGAUAAUCUAUUUACCUUUUUUUAGGACAGAUCGAUAAAAUUGGUCAAAUGUGGAAACUUACCAAAUAUGGUAUUAAUAUAAGUAUCUGCUUGUACAGUACACAUUAUAAUUCUUUAUCAUAUUACAUUGUACGUUAUACAUUGUAUAUGUGUUGUGAUUUAUUAACAUGUAUAUAUUUCUAUUUAUUUGUUCUUAAAAUUAUGCAGUGUAGUUAGAGCUUAUUAAGUGCUUCAUCUGUUUACAAUAUACCUUUAUUCUGAGCAUUUGUAUUGUGUUUAUACUAACAAUCAGAGUUAUGUAUAAGAACACACUGUAUCCCUGCCUGGUCUGAAUAUCAGGAUAUCAUAACAAUUGUGAGGUCAUAAUCUGAACGUGGUUAUUGAUUGAUUCUGACUAUUGUCUUCUCCAUUUAAUGUCUACCUCAGCGUUAAAGUGUUGUAGCCUUAAAACCGCUAUGUAAUUCUUAUAUUUGAACCAAAUACAUUUAAACGGAUUCAUACUUGCCAACUUUUUAAAAUUUCCAUGGGGGAGAUUGCACGUGCUCAGAAUUAAAAGCAUAAAUAAAAACUAUGUGUGUAUGUACACCCUAGGGGGAAAUAACACUUGUAAAGGACAUCUUUUGAGCUGUUCUUUAAGAUGAAAUCAUCAAAACUUAGAAAAAAGGAAUAGUUUAGGAAAUUCACUGGUUGAAAAUGCUCAAUUUUAGUGUCCCUCUUAAAUAGGGAGAUUUGGGAAGUAUGCGGAUUUUGUAUUUUUACAGUACUUGUAUGUUGAAAUGAAAAGGCGAAAAACGAGCUUGUGAAAAGAGAGUUGUUGAAAAGUCAGUGCUUUGUUUCAGGGUUAUAGAAACAGUUAUCUGAUCGUCAUGCAAAUGUUGGUCAUCAUGAUCGUGCUUUACUUACUCUGUUGAAUGUCCAGUUUAUGAUAUUAUUAUGAAUUUCAAAUGUUUUUGUACAUUUAACUUAACUCUAUUCUUUGUUAGUUUUCUUCCAGCAUUCAAUGUAUGUUAAGAUAUUUUGUAUACGGCAUUCAACAUGUAUCCGACAUCUUUAAGUUUUAAAUGGGUUUUGCAAAAAUCGUUGGAUGGUAAAUAAGUACGUAUAUAUACUUGUGAAGACAAAUUGACCUUGAGAAGGCAACUAGCUUAGUAAGGUAAGAAUUGAAAGAAUUUAUGUAAGAUUUUGUUUCUAUAUUAUCAUGAACCCUGACCACUGUUGUAUACACAAAAUGUUCACAAUUUUUAUUUAUCUUUAUUAAAUAUUUCUUACUGCAGUU